UCUCUGACAGUCCAGUGUUUAAAACUCUGUGCUCCCAGUGCAGAGAACCCAGGUUCAAUUCCUGGUCAGGGAA
RNAcentral lists this transfer RNA (73 nucleotides) under Capra hircus (goat). It matches the Rfam family "tRNA". From Rfam's summary of the family: Transfer RNA (tRNA) molecules are approximately 80 nucleotides in length. Their secondary structure includes four short double-helical elements and three loops (D, anti-codon, and T loops). RNAcentral also lists the same sequence under 1 other name. The record is from Rfam by way of RNAcentral. Lineage: Eukaryota; Metazoa; Chordata; Mammalia; Artiodactyla; Bovidae.